Molecule: ribosomal RNA, 572 nt
Filed under: Trichoderma asperellum
Lineage: Eukaryota; Fungi; Ascomycota; Sordariomycetes; Hypocreales; Hypocreaceae
Description: eukaryotic LSU rRNA
Rfam family: 5.8S ribosomal RNA (bases 181-333)
Source: RNAcentral
GGUCAAGCUCACUCCAACCCAAUGUGAACGUUACCAAACUGUUGCCUCGGCGGGGUCACGCCCCGGGUGCGUCGCAGCCCCGGAACCAGGCGCCCGCCGGAGGAACCAACCAAACUCUUUCUGUAGUCCCCUCGCGGACGUAUUUCUUACAGCUCUGAGCAAAAAUUCAAAAUGAAUCAAAACUUUCAACAACGGAUCUCUUGGUUCUGGCAUCGAUGAAGAACGCAGCGAAAUGCGAUAAGUAAUGUGAAUUGCAGAAUUCAGUGAAUCAUCGAAUCUUUGAACGCACAUUGCGCCCGCCAGUUUCUGGCGGGCAUGCCUGUCCGAGCGUCAUUUCAACCCUCGAACCCCUCCGGGGGAUCGGCGUUGGGGAUCGGGACCCCUCACACGGGUGCCGGCCCCGAAAUACAGUGGCGGUCUCGCCGCAGCCUCUCCUGCGCAGUAGUUUGCACAACUCGCACCGGGAGCGCGGCGCGUCCACGUCCGUAAAACACCCAACUUUCUGAAAUGUUGACCUCGGAUCAGGUAGGAAUACCCGCUGAACUUAAGCAUAUCAAAAGCCGGGAAGAAAA